UACGUAGGAGGCAAGCGUUGUCCGGAAUUACUGGGUGUAAAGCGCGUGUAGGUGGGAGGCCAAGUCUGUGGUGAAAGCGCCCGGCUCAACUGGGCAGAGUCCAUGGAAACUGGUCACCUGGAGGACGGUAGAGGCGAGUGGAAUUCCCGGUGUAGUGGUGAAAUGCGCAGAUAUCAGGAGGAACACCGGUGGCGAAGGCGGGUCUCUGGGCAGUAACUGACGCUGAGGAGCGAAAGCGUGGGGAGCGAACAGG
Molecule: ribosomal RNA, 253 nt
Filed under: uncultured bacterium
Lineage: Bacteria
Description: partial 16S ribosomal RNA
Rfam family: Bacterial small subunit ribosomal RNA
Source: RNAcentral